This 1280-nucleotide long non-coding RNA is filed under the name Sus scrofa (pig). RNAcentral describes it as "lncRNA (ENSSSCG00070007042.1)". Lineage: Eukaryota; Metazoa; Chordata; Mammalia; Artiodactyla; Suidae. The record is from RNAcentral.
AGGAGGUAGAAGCCACAGGAACAAAACUAAAUACAGCUAAAAUUCAGCCAUGAGCUCUAGUACAGAAUAACUCUCAAAGGCCUCCUGACGUUUUUACCUUCUUGCUAUAAACCUUUCUUGAAGGGUAAAGUAAGAGGAACAACAAAUGAGGACACAAGAUUCUUUGACAGGAGAUUACGCCAUCAGGCUUGAAAGCAGAAGUCUGGAACUUCUAAUAAGGCAGAUCUCCUGGAAGACUGGAAGGAAAAGCAGCAACAAUACCAGAAUCCUGACAGUGUGAUUGAUACAUUGUGUGAGCUUGGACAUGGUACUAGAUUUCCUAAGCCAAGUUCACAGAGUAUUGGUAAGAACAGAGACACACACCUGGUGAGAGGGAGCAGAGGGUCCAAGGACAUGCCUCUGAAAUUGGGCAGAGGAAUUUGAAUCCUGGCUUUACUAAUUACCACUUUUUUUUCCAAUUCUUUCAUCUCUAAAACAUGAUUAGUACCAGUAAAUUCUCACCGUUUGUUGUGAGGAGUAUGUAAGUACUGUAUUAGUAUUCUCAAUUAUUGCUAGUAGUACCAUAAAACUUGAUUAAAUUAUGCUAUAGAUUAUUUAUGUUUCUUUUAUAUCAUGCUAUGAACUCUAUUUAUAUCCUGUAUACCUAUAACAUUUGAUUGAGUCACAAAUUUUAAUGGAUCCAUAGACUCUGGAUCCAUGUGGCUUCUAUCCCAUUAUUCUUGGUAGGAGAUUAGAUUUAUCCAAAAGCAGAAAAUACUUGGUGAUGUACAUUGUUCCAGUUAAAACUCAGUAUUUAGUGAGAAAAUAAUUGAAGCAAAGGAGAAAAUAACUAAAUUGCCACGUGUUGUCCUUACCCACAUACUUGAAGCUGGCUCACAAUACUAUGGGAAGUGAAUGGGGCCUCUUAAAGCAGGUGGUCCAGAAUUUGCACCCAUUCCUUCUUAUCGCAUCCUCCUGGUUGGAACUUGGACUCUAGUCUGUCCCUACAUGAAAGGAAUAUAUUUUUUCUAACUAGAUUUCUAUAAGCCAUCUCCAAGAAGGGAGUGAGAAGAAACUGGGGUACAAUUUGCCAUGUUAAAACACUGCUAUGACCCUAGAAACAUUAAAACAAUGGUUCCAAGUUCAGAUUAAUGUCUGAGGUUGAAUUCAUGUAGCAUAACCUGAGGAGUGAAGUGAGAAUAUAAUAGAGAUGGAAAGGAAAUACCAGCAAUAGUUGGCAUCUUUACCUUUUCCACUAGCUUUCUAAAACUAUUUUCAUAAAAUCUGUAUCCACUCAUGAA